GGUUAAGCGACUAAGCGUACACGGUGGAUGCCCUGGCAGUCAGAGGCGAUGAAGGACGUGCUAAUCUGCGAUAAGCGUCGGUGAGGUGAUAUGAACCGUUAUAACCGGCGAUUUCCGAAUGGGGAAACCCAGUGUGUUUCGACACACUAUCAUUAACUGAAUCCAUAGGUUAAUGAGGCGAACCGGGGGAACUGAAACAUCUAAGUACCCCGAGGAAAAGAAAUCAACCGAGAUUCCCCCAGUAGCGGCGAGCGAACGGGGAGGAGCCCAGAGCCUGAAUCAGUGUGUGUGUUAGUGGAAGCGUCUGGAAAGGCGCGCGAUACAGGGUGACAGCCCCGUACACAAAAAUGCACAUAUUGUGAGCUCGAUGAGUAGGGCGGGACACGUGGUAUCCUGUCUGAAUAUGGGGGGACCAUCCUCCAAGGCUAAAUACUCCUGACUGACCGAUAGUGAACCAGUACCGUGAGGGAAAGGCGAAAAGAACCCCGGCGAGGGGAGUGAAAAAGAACCUGAAACCGUGUACGUACAAGCAGUGGGAGCCUCUUAAUGGGGUGACUGCGUACCUUUUGUAUAAUGGGUCAGCGACUUAUAUUCUGUAGCAAGGUUAACCGAAUAGGGGAGCCGAAGGGAAACCGAGUCUUAACUGGGCGUUAAGUUGCAGGGUAUAGACCCGAAACCCGGUGAUCUAGCCAUGGGCAGGUUGAAGGUUGGGUAACACUAACUGGAGGACCGAACCGACUAAUGUUGAAAAAUUAGCGGAUGACUUGUGGCUGGGGGUGAAAGGCCAAUCAAACCGGGAGAUAGCUGGUUCUCCCCGAAAGCUAUUUAGGUAGCGCCUCGUGAAUUCAUCUCCGGGGGUAGAGCACUGUUUCGGCAAGGGGGUCAUCCCGACUUACCAACCCGAUGCAAACUGCGAAUACCGGAGAAUGUUAUCACGGGAGACACACGGCGG
RNAcentral lists this ribosomal RNA (952 nucleotides) under Escherichia coli. Its description in RNAcentral is "partial 23S ribosomal RNA". It matches the Rfam family "Bacterial large subunit ribosomal RNA", at positions 1 to 994 of the family's 2925-position model. Lineage: Bacteria; Pseudomonadati; Pseudomonadota; Gammaproteobacteria; Enterobacterales; Enterobacteriaceae. The record is from RNAcentral.